GACGAACGCUGGCGGCGCGCCUAACACAUGCAAGUCGAACGGAGUCACGAGGAGCUUGCUUUUCUUGACUUAGUGGCGAACGGGUGAGUAACGCGUGAGUAACCUGCCCUGGAGUGGGGGACAACAGUUGGAAACGACUGCUAAUACCGCAUAAGCCCACGGAUCCGCAUGGAUCUGCGGGAAAAGGAUUUAUUCGCUUCAGGAUGGACUCGCGUCCAAUUAGCUAGUUGGUGAGGUAACGGCCCACCAAGGCGACGAUUGGUAGCCGGACUGGGAGGGUGAACGGCCAGAUUGGGACGGGGACACGGCCCAGACGCGUGGGGGGGGGGGGGGGGGGGGAAAUUGCACAGGGGGGGAAACCCUGAUGCGGCGACGCCGGGUGGAGGAAGAAGGGUUUGGAAAUGUAAACCCCUGGCGUUGGGGAGGAAAAGGGCGGUACCGAAAAAGAAAGCCCCGGCAAACUACGG
RNAcentral lists this ribosomal RNA (467 nucleotides) under uncultured bacterium. RNAcentral's name for it is "partial 16S ribosomal RNA". It matches the Rfam family "Bacterial small subunit ribosomal RNA", at positions 28 to 506 of the family's 1533-position model. The record is from RNAcentral.